This 459-nucleotide ribosomal RNA is filed under the name uncultured bacterium. RNAcentral describes it as "partial 16S ribosomal RNA". It matches the Rfam family "Bacterial small subunit ribosomal RNA", at positions 338 to 795 of the family's 1533-position model. The record is from RNAcentral.
CCUACGGGAGGCUGCAGUGAGGAAUAUUGGUCAAUGGACGAGAGUCUGAACCAGCCAAGUAGCGUGAAGGAUGACUGCCCUAUGGGUUGUAAACUUCUUUUAUAAAGGAAUAAAACGAGGCACGUGUGCCUUUUUGCAUGUACUUUAUGAAUAAGGAUCGGCUAACUCCGUGCCAGCAGCCGCGGUAAUACGGAGGAUCCGAGCGUUAUCCGGAUUUAUUGGGUUUAAAGGGUGCGUAGGCGGAAUAUCAAGUCAGCGGUAAAAAUUCGGGGCUCAACCCCGUCGUGCCGUUGAAACUGGCGUUCUUGAGUGAGCGAGAAGUAUGCGGAAUGCGUGGUGUAGCGGUGAAAUGCGUAGAUAUCAGGAGGAACAUCGGUGGCGAAAGCGCUUUACUGGACCAUUAUUGACGCUGAGGAACGAAAGCCAGGGGAGCAAAUGGGAUUAGAUACCCUAGUAGUC